GAAUGUUCUCAGGGCGGGGCGCAAUUCCCCACCGGCGGUAAUCGCGUGUACACGCGUAGCCCGCGAGCGCUUGCUGCGCCUCUCCUGGCAGCAAGGUCAGCAGACCUGGUGUGACUCCAGGGCCGACGGUAACAGUCCGGAUGAGAGAGCAGGAUU
Non-coding RNA from Burkholderia sp. ST111, 156 nucleotides. The record is from Rfam. Lineage: Bacteria; Pseudomonadati; Pseudomonadota; Betaproteobacteria; Burkholderiales; Burkholderiaceae.